GACUGAAUUUUAGGUGAUAAAUUGUAAAUUUAUUUAUGGAAAGAUCCUUUUACUAGGUAAAAU
Molecule: transfer RNA, 63 nt
Filed under: Amblyomma ovale
Lineage: Eukaryota; Metazoa; Arthropoda; Arachnida; Ixodida; Ixodidae
Description: tRNA-Tyr
Source: RNAcentral